Halocaridina rubra (Hawaiian volcano shrimp) is the source of this 73-nucleotide non-coding RNA. The record is from the annotation of a GenBank genome assembly. NCBI's taxonomy places the organism in Eukaryota, Metazoa, Arthropoda, Malacostraca, Decapoda, Atyidae.
ACCUUCUGUGGUGUAGUUGGUAGCACCAAGGCACAUUAAAGAUGUGUCCUAGGUUCAAAUCCCGGUUUGGGUA